Molecule: long non-coding RNA, 2926 nt
Organism: Canis lupus familiaris (dog)
Lineage: Eukaryota; Metazoa; Chordata; Mammalia; Carnivora; Canidae
Exons: 3
Source: RefSeq, a predicted model, not a curated record
CUGUGUGGACAGGAGGCUGGUCCUGUGGGGAAGGGCAGCUGACAAGGCUGGGCUGGCCUGGUUCGGACCUGCGGACCCCAUAUGUGGGCCAGGCCAGGGGAGCUCUGUUUCCUGGCCCCGCUGCUGGGGGCCCUGAACACCUGCCUGCACACCUGCGUACAGAGGCAGCCCCGAGCCUCUGAGGACGGUGGACAAGUCUCCAGGGGGAGGUGGUGAGAUGGACAAAAACAGCAAACCCACAGUGCCCCUGGGCCACCUACAUCCUUCUUGACUGUCCCUCCAGGGAGACAUCCCUUCCAUCCUUCAAAUAGUAUUUGCUGAGCACCUAGUACGAGCUAGGCCUGUGCCAGGUGCUGGGAAGUAAUGACAGGUCCCGGCCCCCGUGAGCCUGCAUCUCAGCGUGGGGACAUAGAAUCAAGGGCAAGCAGACGCACCAGUGAGGCUGUUUCACAGCCCUGCCAGUGCCAGGAUGGCAAUGGAGCAGACCGAAGGUAUCCCCUGCAAACAGCAGCUCCCCGGCCCUGCCCCCCCAGGUUCUGUCUCCAUGACCCUGAUGCCUCCGGGGACCUCAUGUAAGUGAAAUCACGGGGGUCAGACCCAAAGUCCCUCCUUUUGCAACUGGCUUACCUCACGGAGCAGCACGUCCUCAAGGUUCACCCACGGGGAACCAUGUGUCAAUUCCCUUCUGGGUCGGUGUCCUCCCGGUUUUCGGCUGAGGGAUCACGGGAUCGCUGCCCCACCAGGUUCGGGUUCUUUUUUUUUUUUUAAGAUUUAUUUAUUUAUUUAUGCGGAGCACCCCGCUCAUCCUGCAGCCCCGCACCGCACAGCUCCUCGCCGGGUCGAGAGCCGGGUGAAGACUAAGAGAGCUCCCGGGAGCUCAUCCAUGGGCCUCCUUCCCCACUUGCCCUUCCCCUCCCUGUCCUUUUGGCACCCUCUUGCCUCUUGCCUCAGAGGCCCUGUGUGGCCUUCCCUGCUGGUGCUCAAGACGUCCCGGCUUUUAUUUCCAAAAGCCCAAAGGGGAGCUUGGUAAGUUUUCCAGGAGGAAGGAAGACAGAGGGGGAAGGGUUAGGCCUGCCCGGCCCCUCCAGCAGCUGAGCCCCAAAUCCACUUGGGUGGGGCCUGGGGCUGUGGUCUGACCCCAACAGGAGUGGCCGUGGGGGGCAUCUUUCUGGCCAAGAACCAUGGGUCUGGACAACUUGAACCUGUAGGGCCCGCAGGCUCCAGGGGCAGAGGAUCCGCCAGAGGCAAGCCCUGGGCGUGGGGGACAGCCCCAGAAUGACUGAGUAGAUUCUGGGAGAGCAGAGAAGUGGUAUUUCAGGCCUCUGAGCUCCUGGGCCAAGGUGCCUUCCUCCACACCCAUUGCACCCACGCGUCCAUCCGGAGGUGGGAAGCUGUGCCCUCUUCCCAGGGCGUCAGGUCUGAGCUCCCCCUGCUCAGCUGCCUGGGGACCCCGAGCCAGCUUCUGCUGCCCGUGAGGUCUCCUUAUCUUCGGGCCAAGAUGUAAGCACCCAGAGGAUGCGGCAGCAGGUGCCGGUGCUGGAGGGUGGUCUCCCCCAGGUGCUGCUGCUGGUGCUCUCUGUCCACUUCGUGUCAGCUUCUUCCUGCCCUUGAUCCCAGUCUUCUGUGCUAUUUGCUACUCCCUCUCUGUCCAUCUGUCCAUCUGUCGCUCUAGCUGGUCCUCUGGUUCUCUGCUGCUUUCCCUGGCCAUUUCCCACAUAUUCACAAUAGCAGCAGGCACACCUUGGACCAGGGCCCCAGUCCAGGCUCUCCUCACCCUGGUGGUCCCGAGGAGGGAACCUGUUCUCUCUAGUGAGGCCAGGGGGCAAGUUACAGUCUGGACCUGGCUCUGCGUUCUUUGUCCUCACACCGUGCAUUUGGGUUUUGCCUACCGUGUGUCCUGUGAAGGUUCUCUCUUGUCCUCUGAUGAGACUGGCUGCAGUGUUGUGAACUGCCCUACAGAGAGGCCUCCUGACAAGGAAUUAAAAGGUGCCUUCCUCUGGCUGACAUCCAGGGGGAAUGCGGCCCCCGGUCCAACAAGCCCCUGAGGACCUGAGCCUGCCAACACCCACUUGAGUGAGAUUGGGAGCAGGUCUCCCUCAGUGGAGCCUGGAAGCGAGCCUGCAGCCACAGCCAACAAGCUGGUUGCAGCUGUAGGGACCAGAGGACCAAGUCAAGCCUUCAGAAACUGUGAAAUCAUAAAGGUGUUGUUUUAAGCACUGAGCUUUGCAGUAAUUCGUCGUGUAGCCUCCGGUCACCGAUCCAGGUACAUGCUGUACUGCGUUAUGCAGUCAUGUCUUCUAGUAUGUGAAAUUCUACUACAGGCAAAUUAUGCUAACGUGGGAAAAAUAAAUCAGAACAACGGCUGCCUCCUGGGAGUGGAGGCAGGACUGACCUACUAGGGCCACGAGGAGUCUUUCUGGGAUGAUGGUAACAUCUUUUGUCCCGACGGGACAUUUGUUUAUGUGACAAAAUUCAGCAGAUGACUUUCAAGAUUUGUGCAUUUUGUUGUAUGCAAAUUUCACAACCAAAACAGUACAUGCUAAAGUAUUUAGGGGGGAAACUGGACUGAUGUCUUCAAUUUAUUUUGAAAUGCAUUAAAAAAAAUUAGAUGGAUUGAUGGGUAGAUAUUGAUAAAACAAGGGUUAUUCGAUGUAAAUGAUAGAAUUUUACCCUAAGAGUAUAUGAGUGUUCACUAGAAAUGCUUUCAGCUUUGCUGUGUGUUUGGAAUUUUCAGAAUAAAAUGUUGGGGAAAAGGAAUCACUUAUUUAGCGAAUACAGAGUGCUUCGUGGGAGAAAAUUAGAAUAAUAGCAUUGUGCCUGGAUAGUAAUUCUAAUCAAGGUUGGUUUUGUGCGAGGCACCCGAUGGGGCUCUUGCACGGGCAUGGUUUCAUUUUAUUCUUCAAGCCAGUGCAACAAGAAAGCAAUG